Homo sapiens (human) is the source of this 816-nucleotide long non-coding RNA. Ensembl annotates it as EAF1 antisense RNA 1. Its record names the gene EAF1-AS1. NCBI's taxonomy places the organism in Eukaryota, Metazoa, Chordata, Mammalia, Primates, Hominidae. The record is from Ensembl.
CUAGCUGGGGAGGGAGAGGCCAUAUGAGUGGAGGGACCUGUGGAGGAAAAAUUAUUAUUACUACCUUGAUGUCCGCUGAACCAAAGUGGAUGGAAAUUUCUCAGGACAUAUUCAUCCAAACUACAAAAACAGGUCUACUUAAACUUUGAAAGAUGAGAUUGUUCAAAAAUGACACGAGAAAAUCACCCAUCACCACUAAGUUAAAGACUUGAAUAUGUGAGAGUUCCAGAGCCUCAAACUCCUACUACAGUCACUGAUCCAUAACAUUUUCCUCUUGCAAUGGACUCCACGCCAAAGUAGCUCAGUCUUGCGGCAUGUUUGUGCACCAAAAAGUUUGUAAGUUCUGGCACAGGAUAAAUAGAAGCUGCACCUAUGGCCCUCUCUCAGCCAUAAAAAGGAGUACACACUUACUGAGGGUGUUCAUGAGCUGGUUGCUUCCUUGUGGCCGGCUGGUUCCAUUGGCAACGGCAGGCCUACUGUUGUAGGGCUGCUGGUGUGAAGGCUGCGGAGGAGAGGCUGGGCCAUUGUCCUCGCCUCCACUGCUGGAGCUAUCGUCAUCACUUCCCGAAGAGCUCUCAGAGUCUGAAGAGCUGCUCCCACUGCUGCUGCUCAUUUGUUCAAUAAUGUCAACUUCAGCCCUCAGCUCUGGAAUAAAGGAUAUGACAUGGAUCAGCACAGCAGCCCUUUUCAAGGCAGUGCAUUGGAGCUUCUAUAAAUAGUAAAUCAGCAAAACCAACAGCAAUAAGAAAUAAUUUAAAACAAAGUCCUACUUCUCAAUACCUUAAAAAAUGUACAAACAAAAUUACCAAAACAAAA